GGGGAAUUUUCCGCAAUGGGCGAAAGCCUGACGGAGCAAUACCGCGUGAGGGAGGAAGGCUCUUGGGUUGUAAACCUCUUUUCUCAGGGAAUAAGAACUGAAGGUACCUGAGGAAUCAGCAUCGGCUAACUCCGUGCCAGCAGCCGCGGUAAUACGGAGGAUGCAAGCGUUAUCCGGAAUGAUUGGGCGUAAAGCGUCCGCAGGUGGUUUAUCAAGUCUGCUGUCAAAGAGUUUGGCUCAACCAAAUAAAGGCAGUGGAAACUGACAGACUGGAGUGCGGUAAGGGCAGAGGGAAUUCCUGGUGUAGCGGUGAAAUGCGUAGAGAUCAGGAAGAACACCGGUGGCGAAAGCGCUCUGCUGGGCCGUAACCGACACUGAGGGACGAAAGCUAGGGGAGCGAAUGGGAUUAGAUACCCCAGUAGUC
This 424-nucleotide ribosomal RNA is filed under the name uncultured cyanobacterium. Its description in RNAcentral is "bacterial SSU rRNA". It matches the Rfam family "Bacterial small subunit ribosomal RNA", at positions 356 to 795 of the family's 1533-position model. The record is from RNAcentral. Lineage: Bacteria; Bacillati; Cyanobacteriota.